CCUGGCCAAUAAACAAAGAUGAACAAGGGGAACCCAAUUGACCUGCUGUGUUGUACAAAUGAAAGAAACAACCCACUGUAUUCCAGAAACAGGAAAUAAUGUCCAUAAAGAAAGAAAUGUUUCCCGUUUUGUUCCAUCGGUAAUAAAAAUUCAUCACAUGAGUUAUAAUCAGUCUGUAACUUUAUCCACAUGAUGCUUUAGCCUUUGUUCUGUCUCUUUCUUUUCCUCUGCCUGCUCUUUGCCUAGCAAGACUUUACAAUUCCACCGGGAGAGAAGAGGGAGAAAAAGAUCCACUUGAAACUCCGGCUGUACCUGCUCUUUCAUCUCCUUCGUGGAAAAAUGUCUAUCGGCUGGAAGCCCUAGGAGUCUUAAUUUUCAAGGAUUUUAGUUGUAAGAUGUUCAAGGCAUGAGACACACACCACCUAUUCAACCAC
Molecule: long non-coding RNA, 434 nt
Filed under: Equus caballus (horse)
Lineage: Eukaryota; Metazoa; Chordata; Mammalia; Perissodactyla; Equidae
Description: lncRNA (ENSECAG00000057376.1)
Source: RNAcentral